RNAcentral lists this ribosomal RNA (475 nucleotides) under uncultured organism. Its description in RNAcentral is "partial 16S ribosomal RNA". It matches the Rfam family "Bacterial small subunit ribosomal RNA", at positions 333 to 799 of the family's 1533-position model. The record is from RNAcentral.
ACACUCCUGCGGGAGGCAGCAGUGGGGAAUUUUGGACAAUGGGCGAAAGCCUGAUCCAGCAAUGCCGCGUGAGUGAAGAAGGCCUUCGGGUUGUAAAGCUCUUUUGUCAGGGAAGAAACGGUGAGAGCUAAUAUCUCUUGCUAAUGACGGUACCUGAAGAAUAAGCACCGGCUAACUACGUGCCAGCAGCCGCGGUAAUACGUAGGGUGCAAGCGUUAAUCGGAAUUACUGGGCGUAAAGCGUGCGCAGGCGGUUUUGUAAGUCUGAUGUGAAAUCCCCGGGCUCAACCUGGGAAUUGCAUUGGAGACUGCAAGGCUAGAAUCUGGCAGAGGGGGGUAGAAUUCCACGUGUAGCAGUGAAAUGCGUAGAUAUGUGGAGGAACACCGAUGGCGAAGGCAGCCCCCUGGGUCAAGAUUGACGCUCAUGCACGAAAGCGUGGGGAGCAAACAGGAUUAGAAACCCGUGUAGUCCCAUG